This 497-nucleotide ribosomal RNA is filed under the name uncultured bacterium. RNAcentral describes it as "partial 16S ribosomal RNA". It matches the Rfam family "Bacterial small subunit ribosomal RNA", at positions 28 to 507 of the family's 1533-position model. The record is from RNAcentral.
GAUGAACGCUGGCGGCGUGCCUAAUACAUGCAAGUCGAGCGAACAGACGAGGAGCUUGCUCCUCUGACGUUAGCGGCGGACGGGUGAGUAACACGUGGAUAACCUACCUAUAAGACUGGUAUAACUUCGGGAAACCGGAGCUAAUACCGGAUAAUAUAUUGAACCGCAUGGUUCAAUAGUGAAAGACGGUUUUGCUGUCACUUAUAGAUGGAUCCGCGCCGCAUUAGCUAGUUGGUAAGGUAACGGCUUACCAAGGCAACGAUGCGUAGCCGACCUGAGAGGGUGAUCGGCCACACUGGAACUGAGACACGGUCCAGACUCCUACGGGAGGCAGCAGUAGGGAAUCUUCCGCAAUGGGCGAAAGCCUGACGGAGCAACGCCGAGUGAGUGAUGAAGGUCUUCGGAUCGUAAAACUCUGUUAUUAGGGAAGAACAAAUGUGUAAGUAACUAUGCACGUCUUGACGGUACCUAAUCAGAAAGCCACGGCUAACUACGUG